RNAcentral lists this ribosomal RNA (468 nucleotides) under uncultured bacterium. RNAcentral's name for it is "bacterial SSU rRNA". It matches the Rfam family "Bacterial small subunit ribosomal RNA", at positions 331 to 793 of the family's 1533-position model. The record is from RNAcentral.
CAGUACUCCUACGGGAGGCAGCAGUGGGAAUAUUGCACAAUGGGGGAAACCUGAUGCAGCCAUGCCGCGUGUGUGAAGAAGGCCUUCGGGUUGUAAAGCACUUUCAGUAGGGAGGAAGGUAGUGUAGUUAAUAGCUGCAUUAUUUGACGUUAGCGACAGAAGAAGCACCGGCUAACUCCGUGCCAGCAGCCGCGGUAAUACGGAGGGUGCGAGCGUUAAUCGGAAUUACUGGGCGUAAAGCGCAUGCAGGUGGUUUGUUAAGUCAGAUGUGAAAGCCCGGGGCUCAACCUCGGAAUUGCAUUUGAAACUGGCAGACUAGAGUACUGUAGAGGGGGUAGAAUUUCAGGUGUAGCGGUGAAAUGCGUAGAGAUCUGAAGGAAUACCAGUGGCGAAGGCGGCCCCCCUGGACAGAUACCGACACUCAGAUGCGAAAGCGUGGGGAGCAAACAGGAUUAGAUACCCUGGUAG